RNAcentral lists this long non-coding RNA (827 nucleotides) under Homo sapiens (human). RNAcentral's name for it is "HSALNT0295411". Lineage: Eukaryota; Metazoa; Chordata; Mammalia; Primates; Hominidae. The record is from RNAcentral.
GCAAUUGAGCAUAUUCCUAGAAAUGUUUCUAAACCAUAACCUGAGAGAAUGUUGAUCUCCAUAGUGUGAAAAUGACUUGGGCCAGUUUAACUUGUACUUUUUUUUUUCUAAACUAAUUCCGUUUUGUUUUUCUCUGAUAAUUCUUCUCUUUCCUGAGCCUCUUUAGAGCAGCACUUACAGGAUUGCCUGUGUAAAGCCUUAUUCCUGUCCCAGAAAAGGUGAAAUCCCUAAGGGCUCUGCCAUGUACUCCAGCCUUGUGACCCUUGCCUUCCAGGAACCAUGCAAGAAGUGCAGCCACCGGAAGUCCUUAAAACAGCAGGAAAGGAAUUUCCAGUAUUCCAAAUAUGAGAAGCUGAGAAAACAAACAACAAACUCAAAACCCUAAAAACCAGGAUACGUAAGGGUAGAUGUUUGUUGGGUGUGGAUUAAAAAUGGACUUUUUUUGCCCCAAGCAACAAAGAGGCACCUUAGAAAAUAGACAAGAGACAAGAAGAAGAGAAGCUUUAAGAGAUAUUUGGUCCAAGGAAGAGACUCUUCAGAUGGAAGGUCACGUCAGCUAGAAACAUUAAUAUGACUGGAUGGGCUCAAACCACUGACUUUUCAGUCAACAUCCGACAGCACUAACCUAGUGUUCCAGAGACACUGCUUGUUAAACAGUGAAAGCUGUUGCUCAAUUGUGUCAUCCGUAAUUGUCAAAUAUUGCCAUUUAGUAGCACAAGGAAGUAUUCUCCGUUGCCAAGCUAGAGCACCCAUAACUCUUCUGUUUUGUUGAACAUUCUUCCCCACCACAAACCCUCUUUAGAAGACUGGGGGCUCCUAAAGCAUUG